Molecule: ribosomal RNA, 722 nt
Filed under: uncultured Gaiella sp.
Lineage: Bacteria; Bacillati; Actinomycetota; Thermoleophilia; Gaiellales; Gaiellaceae
Description: bacterial SSU rRNA
Rfam family: Bacterial small subunit ribosomal RNA
Source: RNAcentral
AGCGGCGAACGGGUGAGUAACACGUGGAUUACCUGCCCUCGGCACCGGGAUAGCCCGGGGAAACCCGGAUUAAUACCGGAUGGCCCUUCCGGCUCACGAGCCGGUCGGAAAAGGUAGCUUCGGCCUCCGGCCGAGGAUGGGUCCGCGGCGGAUUAGCUUGUUGGUGGGGUAACGGCCUACCAAGGCUCCGAUCCGUAGCUGGUCUGAGAGGACGAUCAGCCACACUGGGACUGAGACACGGCCCAGACUCCUACGGGAGGCAGCAGUGGGGAAUCUUGCGCAAUGGGCGAAAGCCUGACGCAGCGACGCCGCGUAAGGGAGGAAGGCCUUCGGGUUGUAAACCUCUUUCAGGAGGGACGAAGCUACUCGGGUGAAUAGCCCAGAGGGUGACGGUACCUCCAGAAGAAGCCCCGGCUAACUACGUGCCAGCAGCCGCGGUAAUACGUAGGGGGCAAGCGUUGUCCGGAUUUACUGGGCGUAAAGCGCGUGUAGGCGGCCACGCAGGUCCGUUGUGAAAACUGGAGGCUCAACUUCCAGACGUCGACGGAAACCGUGUGGCUAGAGUCCGGAAGAGGAGAGUGGAAUUCCUGGUGUAGCGGUGAAAUGCGCAGAUAUCAGGAAGAACACCAAUGGCGAAGGCAGCUCUCUGGGACGGUACUGACGCUGAGACGCGAAAGCGUGGGGGAGCGAACAGGAUUAGAUACCCUGGUAGUCCACGCCGU